This 253-nucleotide ribosomal RNA is filed under the name uncultured bacterium. RNAcentral describes it as "partial 16S ribosomal RNA". It matches the Rfam family "Bacterial small subunit ribosomal RNA", at positions 524 to 776 of the family's 1533-position model. The record is from RNAcentral.
UACGUAGGGGGCUAGCGUUGUCCGGAUUUAUUGGGCGUAAAGAGCGUGUAGGCGGCGCGGUAAGUCGGGUGUGAAAUCUCGGAGCUUAACUCCGAAACUGCAUUCGAUACUGCCGUGCUUGAGGACUGGAGAGGAGACUGGAAUUUACGGUGUAGCGGUGAAAUGCGUAGAUAUCAUAAGGAAGACCAGUGGCGAAGGCGGGUCUCUGGACAGUUCCUGACGCUGAGGCACGAAGGCCAGGGGAGCAAACGGG